RNAcentral lists this ribosomal RNA (775 nucleotides) under uncultured Neocallimastigales. RNAcentral's name for it is "partial large subunit ribosomal RNA". It matches the Rfam family "Eukaryotic large subunit ribosomal RNA", at positions 23 to 646 of the family's 3401-position model. Lineage: Eukaryota; Fungi; Neocallimastigomycota; Neocallimastigomycetes; Neocallimastigales. The record is from RNAcentral.
GAGAGAGAGACAUGCGCGCAUAUCAAUAAGCGGAGGAAAAGAAACUAACAAGGAUUCCCCUAGUAACGGCGAGUGAAGCGGGAAGAGCUCAAAUUUGAAAUCUUAAAGGGUUUCCCUUUACGAAUUGUAGUUUAAAGAAGUGUUUUCUGUUGAGGUUUUGGUAAAAGUUCUUUGGAAUAGGACAUCAUAGAGGGUGAGAAUCCCGUAUUUGACCUUUACUUUCAACUUUGUGAUACACUUUCAAAGAGUCGGAUUGUUUGGGAAUGCAGUCCAAAAUGGGUGGCAAAUUUCAUCUAAAGCUAAAUAUUGGCGAGAGACCGAUAGCGAACAAGUACCGUGAGGGAAAGAUGAAAAGAACUUUGAAAAGAGAGUUAAACAGUACGUGAAAUUGUCAAAAGGGAAGCGUUUGACACCAGUGUUGUUUUUCUGAAAAUCAAUUAAAGAACUGUUUAUGCUAAGUUGUUUAGACUUUAUCAGCUAACUGUUUAGUUUUGAGCUUUUCUUUAAUGCACUUUUCAGUUAACAAGUCAACAUCAAUUUCUUUUGCUGUAAAAAAGCUUGAGGAAGGUGGCUUGAGAUUCGUCUUAAGUGUUUAUAGCCUCUUGCCUAUGCAGUCGGAGAGAUUGAGGUCUGCAGCGUAGAUCCUUCGGGGCUAAAUGCAUUUGUGCUAAGUUAUAACAUUUUAUAGACAACUUGUUGACUAUGAUUUGUCUUGUAGCUUACUCGCUUAUGUUAUUUUACCUACGCUUAGGAUGUUGACGCAUGAGAUAUACGC